Panicum hallii is the source of this 958-nucleotide long non-coding RNA. RefSeq lists it as uncharacterized. NCBI's taxonomy places the organism in Eukaryota, Viridiplantae, Streptophyta, Magnoliopsida, Poales, Poaceae. The record is from RefSeq and is a predicted model, not a curated record. The transcript has 2 exons.
GCGCGCCGUAGAAGAAGGCCACCUGCUGCCGCGUCGCCGGCGCGCAGCCGCCGUCCGGGGUGCAUUGCGGGUGGAGGGACUUGAGUGAGACGGCCAAGGGUUAUAUGUUACAGAUAUUCUAGUACUCCUACCAUGCUUAAGAUUGAGCACGAGGCAUAUGCGCAAGUGUAAACACUUGACCGACGACCAAUCAUGAAUCCACGCAAUUGCGGGCUGGGUGGGCCCAAGCAGACGUAGCACAGGAACUGAGUAACAGACCCAUCAUCACAACAUGAGCGAGCCUUUGCCUGCAUGCACUGCCCAGAAGAGAGUGACACGCACGCCUUUUCUCAGGCAGUGUUCUCACACGCAACGACAACGAUCACUCUCCAGCUCCUGUCCAGGCGACCCGGCUGAAGAUGAAACCAGGCCCGAAAGAUUCCAAGCCGGCUAGCUUGCUUUCGGCAUGGGCUCCCGGUUUCCGGCGUGCGUGCGCGUUUUCUUCUCCGCUCGUCGCAGUCCAAUCUGACCCGAACGGCGAUUGCAGGUUACAGCCGAAACACUGGUCUCCCAGUGUCAACGUCACUGUAUCUGCUUACUGAUAGACUUACGGCUGGAUUGACAUUGCAGACUGCAGGCGGCACGAAAUUCACUAGCCUACUACAACAUGUGAUUCUCAUGUUAACAACGGCGCGUUGCAACUCCAAUCGCACAAAACCGGUGUAUGUUUUUUUUCCAUCUACAUUUCUAUGUUACUGGUAGUGAAACAUUGUUUGCUUGAGAAGGAGAAUGGCAUCCAAUCAUCUAGAUAGGUUUCUGUGCUUAUUCAGUUUACUGGCAAGUCUGCUGAUCAGGAUCGCGAUCAUUGGUACCCGAAUUCUGUCCCCAACAGAGGAUGAAACAAGCGAGCGCGCGGAUCGGUUGACGCAUGGAUAAACAGAGGAUGAAAAAAGCUCGCUGGAGCAGAGGAGGGUGAAGA